AACGAACGCUGGCGGCAUGCCUAACACAUGCAAGUCGAACGAGACCUUCGGGUCUAGUGGCGCACGGGUGCGUAACGCGUGGGAACCUUCCCUUAGGUUCGGAAUAACUCCCCGACAGGGGUGCUAAUACCGGAUCAUGUCUUCUGACCAAAGAUUUAUCGCCUUUGGAUGGGCCCGCGUUGGAUUAGCUAGUUGGUAGGGUAAAAGCCUACCAAGGCGACGAUCCAUAGCUGGUCUGAGAGGAUGAUCAGCCACACUGGGACUGAGACACGGCCCAGACUCCUACGGGAGGCAGCAGUGGGGAAUAUUGGACAAUGGGCGAAAGCAUGAUCCAGCAAUGCCGCGUGAGUGAUGAAGGCCUUAGGGUUGUAAAGCUCUUUUAACCGGGAUGAUAAUGACAGUACCGGGAGAAUAAGCUCCGGCUAACUCCGUG
Molecule: ribosomal RNA, 433 nt
Filed under: uncultured bacterium
Lineage: Bacteria
Description: partial 16S ribosomal RNA
Rfam family: Bacterial small subunit ribosomal RNA
Source: RNAcentral